This 467-nucleotide ribosomal RNA is filed under the name uncultured bacterium. RNAcentral's name for it is "partial 16S ribosomal RNA". It matches the Rfam family "Bacterial small subunit ribosomal RNA", at positions 28 to 507 of the family's 1533-position model. The record is from RNAcentral.
GACGAACGCUGGCGGCGUGCUUAACACAUGCAAGUCGAACGGAAAGGCCCUGCUUUUGUGGGGUGCUCGAGUGGCGAACGGGUGAGUAACACGUGAGUAACCUGCCCUUGACUUUGGGAUAACUUCAGGAAACUGGGGCUAAUACCGGAUAGGAGCUCCUGCUGCAUGGUGGGGGUUGGAAAGUUUCGGCGGUUGGGGAUGGACUCGCGGCUUAUCAGCUUGUUGGUGGGGUAGUGGCUUACCAAGGCUUUGACGGGUAGCCGGCCUGAGAGGGUGACCGGCACAAUGGGAAGGAGGUAGCGCCCAGGCCCCCACGGGGGGGAAGGGGGGGGAAGAUUUCACAAAGGGGCGGAGGCCGAGUGCAGAAACCCCGGGUGGGGAAGACCGCCUUUGGGGUGGGAAACGCUUUUGCCCUUGAACGAGGGGGAGUGAAGGGAAAUGGGAAAAAAGGCCCGGCUAAAUUCGUG